RNAcentral lists this transfer RNA (71 nucleotides) under Ictidomys tridecemlineatus (thirteen-lined ground squirrel). Its description in RNAcentral is "Spermophilus tridecemlineatus (thirteen-lined ground squirrel) tRNA". It matches the Rfam family "tRNA". From Rfam's summary of the family: Transfer RNA (tRNA) molecules are approximately 80 nucleotides in length. The record is from Rfam by way of RNAcentral. Lineage: Eukaryota; Metazoa; Chordata; Mammalia; Rodentia; Sciuridae.
GUGGGUGUAGUUCAGUGAUAGAGUUUAUGCUUAGCAUGCAUGAGGACCUAGGUUCAAUCGUUGCACACACA